RNAcentral lists this transfer RNA (76 nucleotides) under Patescibacteria group bacterium. RNAcentral describes it as "tRNA-Lys". It matches the Rfam family "tRNA". Rfam says of the family: Transfer RNA (tRNA) molecules are approximately 80 nucleotides in length. Their secondary structure includes four short double-helical elements and three loops (D, anti-codon, and T loops). Further hydrogen bonds mediate the characteristic L-shaped molecular structure. tRNAs have two regions of fundamental functional importance: the anti-codon, which is responsible for specific mRNA codon recognition, and the 3' end, to which the tRNAs corresponding amino acid is attached (by aminoacyl-tRNA synthetases). tRNAs cope with the degeneracy of the genetic code in two manners: having more than one tRNA (with a specific anti-codon) for a particular amino acid; and 'wobble' base-pairing, i.e. permitting non-standard base-pairing at the 3rd anti-codon position. The record is from RNAcentral.
GGGACGUUAGCUCAGCUGGUAGAGCAGCAGCCUUUUAAGCUGAUGGUCGGGGGUUCGAUUCCCUCACGUCCCACCA